AUUUUUAUUAAUUAUAGCAUUUAAUGGAUGCCUAGAAAUUAGAAAAUUAAAACGUUUUAUACAACGAAAUUUCAUAAAGAGGGGUAUAAAAUCCGUAUGUAUUUAUGAAUCUUUUAAGAGUAAACUUAUAACCCAUUAUAGUUAUACUAAAAACUUAGCAAACUGAAACAUCUAAGUAGCUAAAGGAAAAUAAAUUAAACAAGAUUUUGUUAGUAGUGGCGAGCGAACGCGAAGUAGGUUAAAGAUAAAAAACAAGUUUAGAAUAAUUUGGAAAGAUUAACGAUACAGGGUGAUAGUCCCGUAUAAAGGAGUUUUUUAUUGAAGAAAGUAAAACGAAACAUGUGUAAUUUUGUUUGAAGAUAGGGGAACCACCCUCUAAACCUAAAUAAUUUCUAAUUAUCGAUAGUGAAAAGUACCGCGAGGGAAAGGUGAAAAGAACCUAUAGAAUAGGAGUGAAAUAGAACCUGAAAUUGAAUGCUUACAAGCAGUUGGAGCAUUUAUAUAAUGUGACAGCGUACCUUUUGUAUAAUGGGUCAGCGAGUUAAUUAAUAUAGCAAGCUUAAGUUGCUAAAUGUAGGCGAAGAGAAAUCGAGUAUUAAAUGUGCGUUAAGUUAUAUUAAUUAGACCCGAAACCUAGUGAUCUAAGUAUGAGCAAGUUGAAAAUAUAGUAAAAUAUAUUGAAGGACUGAACCCGUGUAUGUGGCAAAAUACUGGGAUGACUUGUGCUUAGGGGUGAAAGGCCAAUCAAACUAGGAGAUAGCUGGUUUUCUGCGAAAUCUAUUUAGGUAGAGCGUAACGUAAAAAAAUAUAAUAAUAUCAUCAUUAGGGGUAAAGCACUGGAUAGACUAGGGGGGACUAAUCAUCUUUACCAACUCUAACCAAACUUUGAAUACUAAUGAUGACAAACGUUGCAGACAAACUAUAGGUGAUAAGGUCUAUAGUUAAAAGGGAAACAGCCCAGAACGUAAGUUAAGGUCCGUAAGUUAUAAUUGAGGUUAAAGGGAGUAAAAAUACUUAGACAAUCAAAUCGUAGGCUUGGAAGCAGCCAUCUAUUUUUGAAAGCGUAAAAGCUCAUUGAUCUAAUUAGUAUUUUUAUCCCGAAAAUGUAUAGGACGUAAAUUAUACACCGAAACUACGUAUAUAAUAUAUUAACAGUAUGGUAUAUUAUAUGGUAGCAGAACGUUCUGUAAGCCGUUGAAGAUUUAUUGAAAGAUAGAUUGGAGGUAUCAGAAGUGAAAAUGCUGACAUGAGUAGCGAAAAACAUGUGAUAAAAUAUUGUCGCCGAAAGUUCAAGGGUUUCUUUGAAAGGUUAAUCCGCAAAGAGUAAGUCGGCCCCUAAGAUUAAAGUGAAAACUGUCAUCGAUGGGAAUUAAAUUAAUAAUUUUAAACCUUAUUGUAGUGACGGAGGUUUUGACUUAUUAAAUUGGUAAAAGUUUAGUAUAAAAGACCUUCCAGGAAAAAACUAAAUAAGUAUAGACCGUACCCUAAACCGACACAGGUGAACUAGUAGAGCAUACUAAGGCGUUUAAGAGAACAAUGUUGAAGGAACUCGGCAAAAUGACUCCGUAACUUCGGGAGAAGGAGUGCCUAUAUUUUGGCAACUUAAUAUAGGUGGUACAAAACAGGGGGUAGCGACUGUUUAUUAAAAACACAGGACUCUGCAAAAUUAUUUAAUGAUGUAUAGGGUCUGACACCUGCCCGGUGCUGGAACAUUAAAAGGAUAAGUUAACGCUUUGAAUUGAAGUGUCAGUAAACGGCGGCUGUAACCAUAACGGUCCUAAGGUAGCGAAAUUCCUUGUCGGGUAAGUUCCGACCUGCAUGAAUGGUGUAACGAUUUCCCCACUGUCUCCAACAUUGACUUAGUGAAAUUGAAUUCUCUGUGAAGAUGCAGAGUACUGGCGGCUAGACGGAAAGACCCCGUGCACCUUUACUAUAACUUUACAAUGCUGCUAAAUAUUAAAUGUGUAGGAUAAGUGGGAGCUUAUUAUGAGUUAAAUUAAUUUUUAAUUCUAGGCAGCCUUGAAAUACCACUCUUUUAGUAUUUAAAAGCUAAUUAAAAUUUCUUUUUUAAAAUUUAAAACAUUGUAUGGUUGGUAGUUUGACUGGGGCGGUCACCUCCUAAAGAGUAACGGAGGUGUACAAAGGUAAACUCAAACUAGUUGGAAAUUAGUUGUAGAGUGUAAUGGCAUAAGUUUGCCUGACUGUAAGACUGACAAGUCGAGCAGAGAUAUGUAAGUAUCGGUCAUAGUGAUCCGGUGGUUCUGUGUGGAAAGGCCAUCGCUCAACGGAUAAAAGGUACGCCGGGGAUAACAGGCUAAUGAUUCUCGAGAGCUCGUAUUGCCGGAAUCGUUUGGCACCUCGAUGUCGACUCAUCACAUCCUGAAGCUGAAGCAGGUUUCAAGGGUUUGGCUGUUCGCCAAUUAAAGUGGUACGUGAGUUGGGUUUAGAACGUCGUGAGACAGUUCGGUCCCUAUCUACCGUCAGAAUCAGAUAAUUAAAAGAGUCUAACCUUAGUACGAGAGGACUGGGUAGGAUAUGCCUAUGGUGUAUUGAUUGUUAUGUAUAUAGCAUUGUCAAGAAGCUACGCAUAGAAAGAAUAAUUAUUGAAAGAAUAUAAAUAAGAAGUUACUCUUUAUACAUAUUAUCUUAGACAUGUGAGAGAUUAUCACAUUGAUAGGCAAACAGUGUAAGAUUGGUAACAAUUUGAGCUAGUUUGUACUAAAUGUCGAAAAUAAAAAAC
RNAcentral lists this ribosomal RNA (2740 nucleotides) under Thecamonas trahens. RNAcentral describes it as "LSU rRNA". It matches the Rfam family "Bacterial large subunit ribosomal RNA". Lineage: Eukaryota; Apusomonadida; Apusomonadidae. The record is from RNAcentral.